RNAcentral lists this ribosomal RNA (258 nucleotides) under uncultured bacterium. RNAcentral's name for it is "partial 16S ribosomal RNA". It matches the Rfam family "Bacterial small subunit ribosomal RNA", at positions 97 to 353 of the family's 1533-position model. The record is from RNAcentral.
GGCGGACGGGUGAGUAACGCGUGGGUAACCUGCCUCACACUGGGGGAUAACAGUUAGAAAUAGCUGCUAAUACCGCAUAAGACCACAGCACCGCAUGGUGCAGGGGUAAAAACUCCGGUGGUACAGGAUGGACCCGCGUCUGAUUAGCUGGUUGGUGAGGUAACGGCUCACCAAGGCGACGAUCAGUAGCCGGCUUGAGAGAGUGAACGGCCACAUUGGGACUGAGACACGGCCCAAACUCCUACGGGAGGCAGCAUG